UCCAACGAGGAUAAUGAGAGGGCUGAAAAAAUGACACUUGUUCUCCCAUCAGCAUUGUCUUCUCCAAGUUUAUCUACUUAGAUUCAAGCCCCACAAAGCAUUUUGCAGGACUGCUCAGAAAUACCUAUGCUGAAGUAGGGACUUUUCCUUUCCCCUGAAUACAGCCAAAUGUUCCUGCAGUGGAAAACAGGUUAUGGACUCUGUAAUGUGUUGUGUUCUUGUACAACUGUUUUGUACAUUAGUUUCCAAUAUAUCUUUUACAGGCAAAACUCUGACUCCUCAAGUUAUGUUUCAUAACGUGGCCUCUAACAUCAUGUGCCAGGUUGUCUUUGGUACACACUAUGAGUAUGACGAUGAGUUCAUCACAACGAUUGUUCAGAGUACCACUGAGAUUACCAAGAUCUGCAAUGGACCAUGGGCGAUGCUGUACAGCUCUCUUCCCUUUAUUCGUAAGCUGCCACUGCCAUUCAACAAGGCCUUUAAGGCAGUUAAGCGUUCUUCUGACCUUGUACUUCAUUUGUUGAAUGAGCACAAGAAGACCAGAGUCCCUGGAGAGCCUCGAGACUUCAUUGACAGUUACCUGGAUGAACUGGAUAAGAGACACCAAUUCACCUUUGAAAGUUAACCGGCCCUUAAGAUCACCCUUGUCUUUCCUUACUGUGUAACUAUCCAGUACUUCCACUGCAACAACCCAGCACUUUACCUGCAACUACUGGUCAACAACUGGGAACCGGGCUGUAUUAUAAAGUGAACACUUGUUGGCUU
Acanthochromis polyacanthus (spiny chromis) is the source of this 765-nucleotide long non-coding RNA. RefSeq lists it as uncharacterized. The transcript is spliced from 4 exons. The record is from RefSeq and is a predicted model, not a curated record. NCBI's taxonomy places the organism in Eukaryota, Metazoa, Chordata, Actinopteri, Pomacentridae.